UACGUAGGGUGCGAGCGUUAAUCGGAAUUACUGGGCGUAAAGCGUGCGCAGGCGGUUCGUUAUGUCUGAUGUGAAAGCCCCGGGCUCAACUUGGGAACGGCAUUGGAAACUGGCGAGCUAGAGUGUGGCAGAGGGGGGUGGAAUUCCGCGUGUAGCAGUGAAAUGCGUAGAGAUGCGGAGGAACACCGAUGGCGAAGGCAGCCCCCUGGGCUGACACUGACGCUCAGGCACGAAAGCGUGGGGAGCAAACAGG
This 253-nucleotide ribosomal RNA is filed under the name uncultured bacterium. RNAcentral's name for it is "partial 16S ribosomal RNA". It matches the Rfam family "Bacterial small subunit ribosomal RNA", at positions 524 to 776 of the family's 1533-position model. The record is from RNAcentral.